Molecule: ribosomal RNA, 423 nt
Filed under: Azotobacter chroococcum
Lineage: Bacteria; Pseudomonadati; Pseudomonadota; Gammaproteobacteria; Pseudomonadales; Pseudomonadaceae
Description: bacterial SSU rRNA
Rfam family: Bacterial small subunit ribosomal RNA
Source: RNAcentral
GAGCGGAUGAGGGGUGCUUGCAUCCCGAUUCAGCGGCGGACGGGUGAGUAAUGCCUAGGAAUCUGCCCGAUAGUGGGGGACAACGUUUCGAAAGGAACGCUAAUACCGCAUACGUCCUACGGGAGAAAGUGGGGGCUCUUCGGACCUCACGCUAUCGGAUGAGCCUAGGUCGGAUUAGCUAGUUGGUGGGGUAAAGGCUCACCAAGGCGACGAUCCGUAACUGGUCUGAGAGGAUGAUCAGUCACACUGGAACUGAGACACGGUCCAGACUCCUACGGGAGGCAGCAGUGGGGAAUAUUGGACAAUGGGCGAAAGCCUGAUCCAGCCAUGCCGCGUGUGUGAAGAAGGUCUUCGGAUUGUAAAGCACUUUAAGUUGGGAGGAAGGGCUGUAAGCGAAUACCUUGCAGUUUGACGUACCGACAG